CUUUGGUGGACAUGCCCAAGGAUUAAGGUUUUCUGGGAGAUGAUUUAUAAUGAAUUAAAAAAGGUAUUUAAAUAUACCUUCUUGAAGAAACCAGAGGCCUUUCUCCUGGGCAUAGUCGACCAAUCAGUGUUAAAGAAGGACAGAACUUUCUUUAUGUAUGCUACAACAGCAGCAAGAAUACUUAUUGCAAAGCAUUGGAAGACACAAGAUCUACCCACACUGGAGGAAUGGCAGAUGAAAAUGAUGGACUAUAUGGAAUUGGCGGAAAUGACUGGCAGAAUC
RNAcentral lists this long non-coding RNA (282 nucleotides) under Podarcis lilfordi (Lilford's wall lizard). The record is from RNAcentral. Lineage: Eukaryota; Metazoa; Chordata; Lepidosauria; Squamata; Lacertidae.